AGUACCGGAACCUCCAUUUGACCCAACGACACUCCAAGACAAAUGUUUUUACCGAGACUGUAGAGACAGAACGAUAUUUCUUGCCUGCAUAAUAACACUUUUCGUGUUACUUGUGUCUGGUGCGGUUGGUUUGGAGAUCUACAUCAGCAAGAAAGACACGAGACACAGAAAGAUAGUCACGCCGCUUCUGACGCCACGGACUCCUCGAACCCCUGCAGCCCCUGAAGAUGAGGACGUUGAUGAUGAUUCUACCGUAUCUUCGGACGAAACAACGACAUCUGAAUCGGAAUCGGAAGAAGAAGAGAUGAAUGAAAAUACAGAGUAGUGAAGGAGGGCUGUGUCCGAUGGUA
This is a long non-coding RNA of Lineus longissimus, 350 nucleotides long. RefSeq lists it as uncharacterized. The record is from RefSeq and is a predicted model, not a curated record. NCBI's taxonomy places the organism in Eukaryota, Metazoa, Nemertea, Pilidiophora, Heteronemertea, Lineidae. The transcript is spliced from 4 exons.